UUAUAUUUUAUUUAUUAAUUAAUUUUUUUUUUGUUAUAAAUUAUUAAAAAUAAUUAUUAUAUGACUUGUUUAAGUAUUUUAUAAAGAAAGAAUAAUUUUAAUUAUAGUUAAAUAGUAUUGUGAAAGAAAAUUGAAAUAAUUUGAAAAAUUAAUGUAUAAAAAGAAAAUUUAAUUUAUUGUACCUUGUGUAUCAGGGUUUAUUAAAUAAAAAUUAUUUAUUAUAAUUUUCUCGAUUUUAAAAGAGUUAGUAUGUUAUAAAAGUUAAUGUGAUAAAAUUAUUUUGUAUAAUAUAUUGGAAAUGAAAUGUUAUUCGUUUUUAAAGGUAUCUAGUUCUUUAAGAAAUAAAUUUAAUUUAGAAAUUUUAUAUUAUUUAAUUAAAUAUAUUAAUUAAAUAAUUAUUUUAUUUUAAUAUUUUAUGGGAUAAGCUAUGGAAUAAAUUAUUAAAAAUUAUUAAAUAAUUUAAUAAAUGUAAGCUUAGAAAUAGCUAUUAUUAAUGAAAUUGUUAUAAUUUAUUUUAUUGUAUUAAUUAUUUAUUGAAUUUUAAUUAUGUAUUAAAGUAUUUAUUUUAAUUGUAAAAAUAAAAAAAUAAUGAUAAAAUUAGUAUAUUAUAGUGUAUAGAUAAAAUUAAUUGAUAAGUUUUUAUAAAGAACUCGGCAAAAAUAAUGUUCGCCUGUUUAACAAAAACAUGUCUUUUUGAAUUUUUUUUAAAGUCUAGCCUGCCCACUGAUUAAUUUAAAUGGCCGCAGUAUACUAACUGUGCAAAGGUAGCAUAAUCAUUAGUCUUUUAAUUGAAGGCUGGUAUGAAUGGUUGGACGAGAUAUUAACUGUUUCAUUAAAAUUUAUAAUAGAAUUUUAUUUUUUAGUCAAAAAGCUAAAAUAAAAUUAAAAGACGAGAAGACCCUAUAAAUCUUUAUACAUAUGAAUUAUUAGAAUUUUAUAGAUUUUUUUUGUUAUAAUAGUUGAUUGUAUUUUAUUGGGGUGAUAUUAAAAUUUAAUAAACUUUUAAUUUUAAAAAUCAUUAAUUUAUGAAUAAUUGAUCCGUUAAUAGCGAUUAUAAAAAUAAGUUACUUUAGGGAUAACAGCGUAAUUUUUUUGGAGAGUUCAUAUUGAUAAAAAAGAUUGCGACCUCGAUGUUGGAUUAAGAUAUAAUUUUAGGUGUAGUCGCUUAAAUUUUAAGUCUGUUCGACUUUUAAAUUCUUACAUGAUCUGAGUUCAAACCGGCGUAAGCCAGGUUGGUUUCUAUCUUUAAAAAAUUAAAAUAUUUCAGUACGAAAGGACCUAAUAUUUAAUAAAUAAUUAUUUUUAUAUUGAAUAUAAAUAAUUUAU
RNAcentral lists this ribosomal RNA (1326 nucleotides) under Sarcophaga angarosinica. RNAcentral's name for it is "16S ribosomal RNA". The stretch from base 1075 to 1234 matches the Rfam family "Archaeal large subunit ribosomal RNA", at positions 2544 to 2703 of the family's 2987-position model. Lineage: Eukaryota; Metazoa; Arthropoda; Insecta; Diptera; Sarcophagidae. The record is from RNAcentral.